Molecule: long non-coding RNA, 1765 nt
Filed under: Equus caballus (horse)
Lineage: Eukaryota; Metazoa; Chordata; Mammalia; Perissodactyla; Equidae
Description: lncRNA (ENSECAG00000050690.1)
Source: RNAcentral
UUUGGAAAUCAUUUUCCUAUAGAAAAAGCUAAGCAGAGGCCACUUUUGCAGGAAUUGUUCCAUCGUCUUCCAGUGGCUCCCACAGCCAUCGUCGAGUCCGAAGCCACCAUGAUUCCUUCUACGUGACCUUUCCCCCAUGAGUCACCCAUGCAGAAAUCAAGACAGUUGUCGAGCGGCCUCCUUUGGCCCUCACUCCUGUGUCCUUCCCAGAGGGACAAGCGAGUCGUGGUUUCACCUCUGGUCUUCGGAGCUGGACGACAAGGUCCCAGAGUCACCUCAGGAGCGAGUCGCAGCCUUGUUUCUCCUCAGAUCCCUCUAGAAGGGCGCCGCUGGGGCAUCACGCCGUCAGGGGGUGAAUCUCGUCGUCACAGCUCUUAGGGCUGUUCCGCGGGUGCUGUGAGGACCGGCUGCAGAGCACAGAGCAGAGGGCCUGGCGGGCAGGGGGCCGGUGGUGGGCGAGCCUCCAGCACCACUGUCCCCGGCAUGGGGCCCCUGCGCCCUCCCAUCCACGAGUGGAGCGGGGGGCUCUUCCCAGACACCCUGGCCCUGGCCGCCCCUGCGUCAGCCCCUCCCAGGUUUCCGUGGCCCCCUCAGCUAGCGAGCACUGACUGUGUGCAUCUCUUCCCAACUUGAGGUAGAGUGGGGGGCACACACGGCCCCAGAGGCCCCAGAGGCUGCGGGUGAGCCCCAAGGGAAGCAGACGCUGUCCCCUCGUCCUGUCUACCUUGGGUGGAACAGGAGGGCCUUGGCUGUGAGCACGGGUUACAAGAUCAAAAUCACAGGGCUGCCUUCACAGUGUGUAAACCACGGUCAGGGGCUUGGUUUGGGCCUCAGUUUCCACAUCUGUGAAAUGGGGAGGAGAGAGCUAAUUUGCAUGUUAAAGCAAUGCGAGAUGUGGUUUGAUGAGCACUUUGUAGCACAUAGUAGGUCCUCAAAUUUGCUGUCAGACUGUCUGCCACAGAGCCGGGGGCCCUUGUUGGGCCCAGGCACUGGAGGCACGCGGGCCCUCUUGAGGCUCCACCUGGGGAGGCCCAGGCUUGUCUCCAGGGAGCAAAGCGGAUACUGACGCAGCCCCCUCCGCCCCAGCCUGGGAACCACAGCAUUCUGGGACGUGGGGACUGCGCCAGGACGGGCCGCCAGCUCCCUCUGCUUCUCGUUAGGACUUGUCACCUCCCCCGCCCGGCCCCUCCCUGUUGGGCAGCAGCACUCCUCACCGUCCUUCUGGGACCAUCACGGCCCAGAAAGUCCUGUCAGCUCAGCAGGGUCAAGCCAGGGAAGCUGCGCCUUCCAGAAAGGAGGGGGAAGAGGCCGAGCCUGGACUCUGGACCCGUGAGCCAGGCCCGAGCUGAGCCGCAGAUGCUGUCCAGCCACCUGAACCAGGUGGCCUGUGAGCCUUCCAUCUGUGAGCAGAGACCGGGUCAGAAGUCUCUCCCGCAGGCAGCGAAGGAAACAUACACGAAGGCCUUGCCGGCCCCUGGACUGGGGCGACCCGUGGUUUGUGGAGGUCUUCGCCUGCAUGGUCCUUUGUCAGGAGGUCAGCUCAGAGCUCAGCCCUGCAGGUGGUAUGUCCCCCGUCCUGCGAGUGCAUUUGCAUGUGGUGAGGGAUAUGCUGUGCCCAAGCUUUGCCCCCCAGAGACCCAGAGGUAUCCCACCAAGGCCAAAGGGACGCUGUCCCCAGCCCUGCCGAGGCCAGGAACUCCAGGGAAGCUGUCGGCCGCAGAGCAUCAAGGAGCAGUGCAGGUCGUUUGGAGGGUUCGUCUUCUGA